CAAUAGCGUAUAUUAACGUUGUUGCAGUUAAAAAGCUCGUAGUUGGAUUUCUGACAGGAGUGACCGGUCCGAGUCGCAAGACUCGUGUACUUUUGUGUCUUACUCUAGUCAUCCUUAUGGAGAUUGUGUUUCGGCAUUGAGUUGUCGGGCAUAGGACCCAUAUCGUUUACUGUGAAAAAAUUAGAGUGUUUAAAGCAGGCAAUUGCUGUGAAUACAUUAGCAUGGAAUAAUAAGAUAGGACUUUGGUGCUAUUUUGUUGGUUUGCCACCAAGGUAAUGAUUAAGAGGGACAGUUGGGGGUAUUCGUAUUUAAUUGUCAGAGGUGAAAUUCUUGGAUUUAUGAAAGACGAACUACUGCGAAAGCAUUUACCAAGGAUGUUUUCAUUAA
Molecule: ribosomal RNA, 387 nt
Filed under: uncultured eukaryote
Lineage: Eukaryota
Description: partial 18S ribosomal RNA
Rfam family: Eukaryotic small subunit ribosomal RNA
Source: RNAcentral